AUUGAACGCUGGCGGCGUGCCUUACACAUGCAAGUCGAACGGCAGCACGGGAGCUUGCUCCUGGUGGCGAGUGGCGGACGGGUGAGUAAUGCAUAGGAAUCUGCCCAGUAGCGGGGGACAACUUGGGGAAACUCAAGCUAAUACCGCAUGCGCCCUACGGGGGAAANCGGGGGGACCUUCGGGCCUCGCACUAUUGGAUGAGCCUAUGUCAGAUUAGCUUGUUGGUGGGGUAACGGCCUACCAAGGCGACGAUCUGUAGCUGGUCUGAGAGGACGAUCAGCCACACUGGGACUGAGACACGGCCCAGACUCCUACGGGAGGCAGCAGUGGGGGAAUAUUGCACAAUGGGCGAAAGCCUGAUGCAGCAAUGCCGCGUGUGUGAAGAAGGCCUGCGGGUUGUAAAGCACUUUCAGUAGGAGGAAACAGUAGCCGGUUAAUAUCCGGUUGCCUUGACGUUACCUACAGAAGAAGCACCGGCUAACUCUGUG
Molecule: ribosomal RNA, 488 nt
Filed under: uncultured bacterium
Lineage: Bacteria
Description: bacterial SSU rRNA
Rfam family: Bacterial small subunit ribosomal RNA
Source: RNAcentral